AUGCUGGAGGUAUCAGAAGUGCGAAUGCUGACAUAAGUAACGAUAAAGCGGGUGAAAAGCCCGCUCGCCGGAAGACCAAGGGUUCCUGUCCAACGUUAAUCGGGGCAGGGUGAGUCGACCCCUAAGGCGAGGCCGAAAGGCGUAGUCGAUGGGAAACAGGUUAAUAUUCCUGUACUUGGUGUUACUGCGAAGGGGGGACGGAGAAGGCUAUGUUGGCCGGGCGACGGUUGUCCCGGUUUAAGCGUGUAGGCUGGUUUUCCAGGCAAAUCCGGAAAAUCAAGGCUGAGGCGUGAUGACGAGGCACUACGGUGCUGAAGCAACAAAUGCCCUGCUUCCAGGAAAAGCCUCUAAGCAUCAGGUAACAUCAAAUCGUACCCCAAACCGACACAGGUGGUCAGGUAGAGAAUACCAAGGCGCUUGAGAGAACUCGGGUGAAGGAACUAGGCAAAAUGGUGCCGUAACUUCGGGAGAAGGCACGCUGAUAUGUAGGUGAAGUCCCUUGCGGAUGGAGCUGAAAUCAGUCGAAGAUACCAGCUGGCUGCAACUGUUUAUUAAAAACACAGCACUGUGCAAACACGAAAGUGGACGUAUACGGUGUGACGCCUGCCCGGUGCCGGAAGGUUAAUUGAUGGGGUCAGCGCAAGCGAAGCUCUUGAUCGAAGCCCCGGUAAACGGCGGCCGUAACUAUAACGGUCCUAAGGUAGCGAAAUUCCUUGUCGGGUAAGUUCCGACCUGCACGAAUGGCGUAAUGAUGGCCAGGCUGUCUCCACCCGAGACUCAGUGAAAUUGAACUCGCUGUGAAGAUGCAGUGUACCCGCGGCAAGACGGAAAGACCCCGUGAACCUUUACUAUAGCUUGACACUGAACAUUGAGCCUUGAUGUGUAGGAUAGGUGGGAGGCUUUGAAGUGUGGACGCCAGUCUGCAUGGAGCCGACCUUGAAAUACCACCCUUUAAUGUUUGAUGUUCUAACGUUGACCCGUAAUCCGGGUUGCGGACAGUGUCUGGUGGGUAGUUUGACUGGGGCGGUCUCCUCCUAAAGAGUAACGGAGGAGCACGAAGGUUGGCUAAUCCUGGUCGGACAUCAGGAGGUUAGUGCAAUGGCAUAAGCCAGCUUGACUGCGAGCGUGACGGCGCGAGCAGGUGCGAAAGCAGGUCAUAGUGAUCCGGUGGUUCUGAAUGGAAGGGCCAUCGCUCAACGGAUAAAAGGUACUCCGGGGAUAACAGGCUGAUACCGCCCAAGAGUUCAUAUCGACGGCGGUGUUUGGCACCUCGAUGUCGGCUCAUCACAUCCUGGGGCUGAAGUAGGUCCCAAGGGUAUGGCUGUUCGCCAUUUAAAGUGGUACGCGAGCUGGGUUUAGAACGUCGUGAGACAGUUCGGUCCCUAUCUGCCGUGGGCGCUGGAGAACUGAGGGGGGCUGCUCCUAGUACGAGAGGACCGGAGUGGACGCAUCACUGGUGUUCGGGUUGUCAUGCCAAUGGCACUGCCCGGUAGCUAAAUGCGGAAGAGAUAAGUGCUGAAAGCAUCUAAGCACGAAACUUGCCCCGAGAUGAGUUCUCCCUGACUCCUUGA
RNAcentral lists this ribosomal RNA (1571 nucleotides) under Escherichia coli. RNAcentral's name for it is "bacterial LSU rRNA". It matches the Rfam family "Bacterial large subunit ribosomal RNA", at positions 1270 to 2826 of the family's 2925-position model. Lineage: Bacteria; Pseudomonadati; Pseudomonadota; Gammaproteobacteria; Enterobacterales; Enterobacteriaceae. The record is from RNAcentral.